GAUGAACGCUAGCGGCAGGCUUAACACAUGCAAGUCGAGGGGUAACGUGAGUGCUUGCACUUGACGACGACCGGCGCACGGGUGCGUAACGCGUAUAGAACCUACCUUAUAGUAAGGGAUAGCCCAGAGAAAUUUGGAUUAAUACCUUAUAGUAUGAUAAGAUGGCAUCAUUUAAUCAUUAAAGAUUUAUUGCUAUAAGAUGGCUAUGCGUUCUAUUAGCUAGUUGGUAUGGUAACGGCAUACCAAGGCAACGAUAGAUAGGGGUCCUGAGAGGGAGAUCCCCCACACUGGUACUGAGACACGGACCAGACUCCUACGGGAGGCAGCAGUGAGGAAUAUUGGACAAUGGAGGCAACUCUGAUCCAGCCAUGCCGCGUGUAGGAAGACUGCCCUAUGGGUUGUAAACUACUUUUAUA
This 416-nucleotide ribosomal RNA is filed under the name Cytophaga sp. A12. Its description in RNAcentral is "bacterial SSU rRNA". It matches the Rfam family "Bacterial small subunit ribosomal RNA", at positions 28 to 440 of the family's 1533-position model. Lineage: Bacteria; Pseudomonadati; Bacteroidota; Cytophagia; Cytophagales; Cytophagaceae. The record is from RNAcentral. RNAcentral also lists the same sequence under 3 other names.